AUGCAAAUGGGGGCUAAUGUUAUGCAACAUAAAUUGGGUAGUGCUAGUGGCUCUAGAUAUGAGGAUACAACUGGUAGAGGAGGAGAUGCUCAGCUGAAGAAAUGGAAUGGAAAUCAAUUUCCUACUCCCGGUGGAGGAGAACAUAUACAAAUGAGCAGCCAUGAUAGAGAGAAUAUAAGUCUCAGAGCAGAUCAAGAAGGUGGAAAGGUUGGUUUUGGUGGUGCAGGCAAAAUGAUGUGUAAUAAAUGCAAAGACACCAGACAUGCUACAAAAGACUGCACUUCAGGUCACUGUGUAAUAUAUGGGAAGAAAACCACAUUACUGAUGAGUGUACUUGGCUGA
RNAcentral lists this ribosomal RNA (342 nucleotides) under Triticum aestivum (bread wheat). RNAcentral's name for it is "partial small subunit ribosomal RNA". The record is from RNAcentral. Lineage: Eukaryota; Viridiplantae; Streptophyta; Magnoliopsida; Poales; Poaceae.